RNAcentral lists this ribosomal RNA (253 nucleotides) under uncultured bacterium. RNAcentral describes it as "partial 16S ribosomal RNA". It matches the Rfam family "Bacterial small subunit ribosomal RNA", at positions 524 to 776 of the family's 1533-position model. The record is from RNAcentral.
UACAGAGGUCCCAAGCGGUGUUCGGAUUCACUGGGCGUAAAGGGUGCGUAGGUGGUCGGGUAAGUUGGGUGUGAAAGCUCGGAGCUUAACUCCGAAACGGCAUUCAAAACUACCUGGCUAGAGGGUCGGAAGGGAGACUGGAAUUCUCGGUGUAGCGGUGAAAUGCGUAGAUAUCGAGAGGAACACCAGUGGCGAAAGCGAGUCUCUGGACGACACCUGACACUGAGGCACGAAAGCUAGGGGAGCAAACAGG